This 390-nucleotide ribosomal RNA is filed under the name uncultured bacterium. RNAcentral describes it as "bacterial SSU rRNA". It matches the Rfam family "Bacterial small subunit ribosomal RNA", at positions 28 to 418 of the family's 1533-position model. The record is from RNAcentral.
GACGAACGCUGGCGGCGUGCUUAACACAUGCAAGUCGAGCGGUAAGGCCCUUUCGGGGGUACACGAGCGGCGAACGGGUGAGUAACACGUGGGUGACCUGCCCUCAGCUCUGGGAUAAGCCUGGGAAACCGGGUCUAAUACCGGAUAUGACUCCAUGACGCAUGUUGUGGGGUGGAAAGCCUUGUGCGGCUGAGGAUGGGCCCGCGGCCUAUCAGCUUGUUGGUGGGGUGAUGGCCUACCAAGGCGACGACGGGUAGCCGGCCUGAGAGGGCGACCGGCCGACACUGGGACUGAGACACGGCCCAGACUCCUACGGGAGGCAGCAGUGGGGAAUCUUGCGCAAUGGGCGAAAGCCUGACGCAGCGACGCCGCGUGAGGGAUGACGGCCUC